GGAAGUUUUGAGUGGCGAACGGGUGAGUAACACGUGGGUAACCUGCCCAGANGAGGGGGAUAACACUUGGAAACAGGUGCUAAUACCGCAUAACAAUAAAAACCGCAUGGUUUUUAUUUAAAAGAUGGUUUUGCUAUCACUUCUGGAUGGACCCGCGGCGUAUUAGCUAGUUGGUAAGGUAAAGGCUUACCAAGGCAAUGAUACGUAGCCGAACUGAGAGGUUGAUCGGCCACAUUGGGACUGAGACACGGCCCAAACUCNUACGGGAGGCAGCAGUAGGGAAUCUUCCACAAUGGACGAAAGUCUGAUGGAGCAACGCCGCGUGAGUGAAGAAGGUUUUCGGAUCGUAAAACUCUGUUGUUAGAGAAGAACGUGUGUGAGAGUAACUGCUCAUGCAGUGACGGUAUCUAACCAGAAAGCCACGGCUAACUACGUGCCAGCAGCCGCGGUAAUACGUAGGUGGCAAGCGUUGUCCGGAUUUAUUGGGCGUAAAGGGAACGCAGGCGGUUUUUUAAGUCUGAUGUGAAAGCCUUCGGCUUAACCGAAGUCAUGCAUUGGAAACUGAAAGACUUGAGUGCAGAAGAGGAGAGUGGAACUCCAUGUGUAGCGGUGAAAUGCGUAGAUAUAUGGAAGAACACCAGUGGCGAAAGCGGCUCUCUGGUCUGUAACUGACGCUGAGGUUCGAAAGUGUGGGUAGCAAACAGGAUUAGAUACCCUGGUAGUCCACACCGUAAACGAUGAAUGCUAAGUGUUGGAGGGUUUCCGCCCUUCGGUGCUGCAGCUAACGCAUUAAGCAUUCCGCCUGGGGAGUACGACCGCAAGGUUGAAACUCAAAGGAAUUGACGGGGGCCCGCACAAGCGGUGGAGCAUGUGGUUUAAUUCGAAGCAACGCGAAGAACCUUACCAGGUCUUGACAUCUUCUGACAACCUAAGAGAUUAGGUGUUCCCUUCGGGGACAGAAUGACAGGUGGUGCAUG
Molecule: ribosomal RNA, 977 nt
Filed under: Liquorilactobacillus mali
Lineage: Bacteria; Bacillati; Bacillota; Bacilli; Lactobacillales; Lactobacillaceae
Description: bacterial SSU rRNA
Rfam family: Bacterial small subunit ribosomal RNA
Source: RNAcentral